Long non-coding RNA from Lotus japonicus, 1957 nucleotides. RefSeq lists it as uncharacterized. The transcript is spliced from 5 exons. The record is from RefSeq and is a predicted model, not a curated record. NCBI's taxonomy places the organism in Eukaryota, Viridiplantae, Streptophyta, Magnoliopsida, Fabales, Fabaceae.
UCUUCUCCAAUCCUCUCUAGACACAGCGUUCUCCAGUUCCAUGAAACGUUCUCAAUCUCAAAAAUUAUGCAGCCAAGCGUUACAAUACAACCAUCUAUAUUCCAAACUUCAAUUUUUCCUCCUUAUUGAUUCCACUUUCUAACUGUUACAUCUGCACCAAACUUAAUUCUUCUCCCAACUUUAUAUUUUCAUUCCAUUUAAUUCCUUCAUUUUAUUUAUGUUCUAUAUGUUUCCACCAAUCCAAAGUAAUUUUCUUAUUGCCAUGAGACGAUUUUGUUCGCGCCUCCACGCGUAUUCUUCUCCAUUCUUCCUCUCUGGCUACCGAUGGUUUUUUCAAGCCUAACCUUGUCUUUCUAUGAUCAGGUAGGUAAUCAAUUUCAUUCCUCAACCUCUACCUUAGGUUUUUCACCGUUCUCAUCUCCUUCAAGUGAAUGGCAUCAUCUCAUCCGCUCUGACAUGUGGUCCAACCAAGGGGUACACGCAUAAAGAAAGUGCCAUUUUCUCAUGCCUAAAUUGGCUAAGUUGCAAUAUAUAACUUUCCUUUACCCCCUUUUAUUCAUUUAGAUAUGAUUACAUAUUUACAUAUGUAUGAUCAUGCUGAGGUUUUUGUUAAGCUUCAACGGAAUGAAUCGUGUUUUGCUUGAGUGUUAAAAUCAUCGCCUGGGACUAGCCGUCAUGGCUUGAAAACUCGGGGCUGAAGAGUGAAGACGCAGCACAGUGAUGUGCAUACUACUCUACGAAGAUUGUGAGCGUAGAUAAGCAGAUAGUGUUUCAAAUUUAGAGUCACCUCGUUCCAUUUUUCUCUUCAUUGGUAGAUUGAUCACUAAUUACAGGCUUUUGCUCUUCAACAUGCACAAACACAAUAUGAAGGCCAAUCGCUCAGCCCCCUUCGCUCAGUCCCCUGCUGAUUGUGUGCUCGUUUUGCCUUGCUGCCGUUGCCGCUGUUUCUGUCCUGAUUUAUUUGCUGCUCUCCACCUACUUUAUUUUCUUGACUUAAUAGAAAAGCAUGAUGAGUCAAAUAAUACAGCUGCGACAAGGUGAAGGAAGCAAGUGACAAAUGCCAUAAUAUCACUCAUUGCUCCUCUUUCUCAUACGUACGACCUCAUCUUAAUUUUGCUAGUUCAACAUAAGCUCCAUUCUUCAUGGCUCAAGCUCCAUGCCCCACCAACACUAUGUCGCCGACCAGCGCACCGCUGCAAUUGACAACAGUGAUGGAUAAAAGGGGGUCAAUAAUGGAGAAAAGGGGCUAGAUCACGAGCAUCAUCCAUCAAAUUGCAGCACCCAAACGACGAAGCCCGCAACCUGCGACCACGCUAGCAAUCAUGUGUUCCGCCUUCACGGCAAGAGCAACACAGAGAUCUCACGACUCCUUCAUUCUCGUAUGACCACCAAGCAAGAGACGACGUUGUUUAUUGAGUAAAAUACACUCACCCCCCUCAAGAUUUGUAAGAAUGACACUCCACCCCAUUCUUUUUAAAAAUCUACACUCCACCCCAUUUUUUAUAAAGGCAAAUUUUAGUGACGAAAACAAAUUCCUCACUACUAAAAACUAAUUACUAAUUAGUAAAAAUUUAAAUAAAUUUAAUGCAUAUACACUAUCAUACAUUAAUUUAUGAAAAUAAUUUUACUGAAUUAAAUUUAAAAAAACCAUCCACUCUGUCUGUUAAGUCCACGUCUCAUCUAUCUCCAAAUCAUAUUUCUCACCACAAACGGCCACCACCAAGCCUUUACUCCCUUUAACACGGCUCCACUGUCCCACAAUGUGAAGCCCCAUGGCACCUCCAUGCCUCAAAGUUUUGUUGCGACCUGAACCCCAGAACGUGAAUCGCACAUCCCUAAAGCCACUUGUUCAACUACUUCUUGUGAAUUUCACCCAUUUAAGUUGUGUGGUCUUAGAUAUUGUUGGAUUUUGUUAAAAACGAUGCUCCACCGCCUCGUUGGGCUCUAAUAACCUCAG